AGUCGACUGCAAGUAUGGCAACAUAUUCACACAUAUAAACAAGUGGUGCAUUUGUAUUGUAUGUAUAGGUAUGUACAACAGAAACACGUUACACUCGGUUUUAAAGUUGUGCAAGUGUAUUUUAUAUAUAUAUAUUUGCAUGUAUGUAUGUAUAUAUACUGACA
This is a long non-coding RNA of Thalassophryne amazonica, 164 nucleotides long. RefSeq lists it as uncharacterized. The transcript has 3 exons. Lineage: Eukaryota; Metazoa; Chordata; Actinopteri; Batrachoidiformes; Batrachoididae. The record is from RefSeq and is a predicted model, not a curated record.